This 479-nucleotide ribosomal RNA is filed under the name uncultured bacterium. RNAcentral's name for it is "partial 16S ribosomal RNA". It matches the Rfam family "Bacterial small subunit ribosomal RNA", at positions 28 to 507 of the family's 1533-position model. The record is from RNAcentral.
GAUGAACGCUAGCGGGAGGCCUAACACAUGCAAGCCGAGCGGUAUUGUUUCUUCGGAAAUGAGAGAGCGGCGUACGGGUGCGUAACACGUGUGCAACCUGCCUUUAUCUGGGGGAUAGCCUUUCGAAAGGAAGAUUAAUACUCCAUAAUAUAUUGAACGGCAUCGUUUAAUAUUGAAAGCUCCGGCGGAUAGAGAUGGGCACGCGCAAGAUUAGCUAGUUGGUGAGGUAACGGCUCACCAAGGCGAUGAUCUUUAGGGGGCCUGAGAGGGUGAUCCCCCGCACUGGUACUGAGACACGGACCAGACUCCUACGGGAGGCAGCAGUGAGGAAUAUUGGUCAAUGGGUGCAAGCCUGAACCAGCCAUCCCGCGUGAAGGACGACUGCCCUAUGGGUUGUAAACUUCUUUUGUAUAGGGAUAAACCUACCCUCGAGAGGGUAGCUGAAGGUACUAUACGAAUAAGCACCGGCUAACUCCGUG